RNAcentral lists this ribosomal RNA (301 nucleotides) under uncultured bacterium. RNAcentral describes it as "partial 16S ribosomal RNA". It matches the Rfam family "Bacterial small subunit ribosomal RNA", at positions 509 to 807 of the family's 1533-position model. The record is from RNAcentral.
CAGUCGCCACGGGAAUACGAAGGGGGCUAGCGUUGCUCGGAAUCACUGGGCGUAAAGGGUGCGUAGGCGGGUCUUUAAGUCAGGGGUGAAAUCCUGGAGCUCAACUCCAGAACUGCCUUUGAUACUGAGGAUCUUGAGUCCGGGAGAGGUGAGUGGAACUGCGAGUGUAGAGGUGAAAUUCGUAGAUAUUCGCAAGAACACCAGUGGCGAAGGCGGCUCACUGGCCCGGUACUGACGCUGAGGCACGAAAGCGUGGGGAGCAAACAGGAUUAGAUACCCCCGUAGUCCCUGUCUCUUAUAC